CAACGAGCGCAACCCCUGUCCUUUGUUGCCAGCACGUAAUGGUGGGAACUCAAGGGAGACUGCCGGUGAUAAACCGGAGGAAGGUGGGGAUGACGUCAAGUCAUCAUGGCCCUUACGGCCAGGGCUACACACGUGCUACAAUGGCGCGUACAGAGGGCUGCAAGCUAGCGAUAGUGAGCGAAUCCCAAAAAGCGCGUCGUAGUCCGGAUCGGAGUCUGCAACUCGACUCCGUGAAGUCGGAAUCGCUAGUAAUCGCAAAUCAGAAUGUUGCGGUGAAUACGUUCCCGGGCCUUGUACACACCGCCCGUCACAACCAUGGGAGUGGGUUGCACCAGAAGUAGAUAGCUAA
This 349-nucleotide ribosomal RNA is filed under the name uncultured Aeromonas sp. RNAcentral describes it as "bacterial SSU rRNA". It matches the Rfam family "Bacterial small subunit ribosomal RNA", at positions 1090 to 1437 of the family's 1533-position model. The record is from RNAcentral. Lineage: Bacteria; Pseudomonadati; Pseudomonadota; Gammaproteobacteria; Aeromonadales; Aeromonadaceae.